Molecule: ribosomal RNA, 253 nt
Filed under: uncultured bacterium
Lineage: Bacteria
Description: partial 16S ribosomal RNA
Rfam family: Bacterial small subunit ribosomal RNA
Source: RNAcentral
UACGUAGGGUGCAAGCGUUAAUCGGAAUUACUGGGCGUAAAGCGUGCGCAGGCGGUGAUGUAAGACAGGUGUGAAAUCCCCGGGCUUAACCUGGGAACUGCAUUUCUGACUGCAUCGCUGGAGUGCGGCAGAGGGGGAUGGAAUUCCGCGUGUAGCAGUGAAAUGCGUAGAUAUGCGGAGGAACACCGAUGGCGAAGGCAAUCCCCUGGGCCUGCACUGACGCUCAUGUACGAAAGCGUGGGGAGCAAACAGG